UACAAAGGUAUUGUAAUAAGGUUUUAAUUGAAUGCUAAAAGAAUGGAAUUACAGGGAAAAGUUUUUUUAAAUUUAAUAAUUGAAGUUAUUUUAAUUUGUGAAGAAACAAUUAUAUAAAUUAAAGACAAGAAGACCCUAAGAAUUUAAGAAUUUUUAUUAAUAUAUUAUAUGUAUAUAUAUAUAUAUAUAAAUAAAAUUCUUAGUUGGGGCAACUAAAAAAUAUAUUAAACUUUUUUUUUAAAAAAAAUGAUCCAUUAUUAAUGAUAAUAUGAAAAAAAUACUCUAGGGAUAACAGCGUAAUAAUUUUUGAUAGAUCUUAUAGACAAAAUAGUUUGCGACCUCGAUGUUGGAUUAGGAUACUUUUUUAAUGAAGAUGUUAAAAAAAGAAGUUUGUUCAACUUUUAAAUUCCUACAU
RNAcentral lists this ribosomal RNA (415 nucleotides) under Dermacentor nuttalli. Its description in RNAcentral is "partial 16S ribosomal RNA". The record is from RNAcentral. Lineage: Eukaryota; Metazoa; Arthropoda; Arachnida; Ixodida; Ixodidae.